Non-coding RNA from Acanthosepion pharaonis, 109 nucleotides. NCBI's taxonomy places the organism in Eukaryota, Metazoa, Mollusca, Cephalopoda, Sepiida, Sepiidae. The record is from the annotation of a GenBank genome assembly.
UGGCUAUAUCAGUUUGAAACUGAUUCUCGUACAAUCACCGAAGUUAAACAAUGUGAAGCCUGGUCAGUACUUAGAUGGGUGACGACUUAGGAAUACCAGGUGCUGUAAG